Molecule: long non-coding RNA, 957 nt
Filed under: Elaeis guineensis (African oil palm)
Lineage: Eukaryota; Viridiplantae; Streptophyta; Magnoliopsida; Arecales; Arecaceae
Description: long non-coding RNA (EGUI_LNC082630)
Source: RNAcentral
CCUGUACAUGACUUCAGGGCAGCAUCACCAGAUACCCAGUUCAUUCCUGAUACAGAGGCUGGCCCUUCAGAGUUUACUAGGAUGCCCAUACCAGUGUAUCAGCCAGAGACCAGAGCACAUCCAUCAGAGUUCAGACUGGCUGACGAUCAGAUCGAGCAUAUAUCACAGCGUGUGGCCUCUUUAUUAUCUAGUCAGUGGAGUAGUACUACUUUUGCACCGGAAGCCACUUCUUCUGAUCAGACCAUGACUCCCCACAUAUCCACUGUGUUUCAGAUGAUAUCAGAUCAGUCCAUCCGGAUCCAGCAGCUUGAGGACAGUCUAGAGACUGACUGGCAGAGUUCUAGACUUGCAGGGGCAAGUCCUUGCUUUGGCCAAUCCCAAGCCACAGGAGUCUACUAUUGAGGUCACAGACCUCACUGCAGAGGCUGGAAGGCUCAGAGGAGCACUAGAGGGAGGAUAUGAGUUACUGAGGAAAGAGAUCCGAGGAUCGAGUGAGCAAGCAUCCACUCAGUUCACUGCUCUACUUCAAUCUAUUUUCAGAGCAUUGAACGUACUUGAUUCCAUCAGACUCACCCUUUCUGUUCAGUCUUUAGCCUCUCAGCGUUCUCAGCCACCCAGUUCUUCUCACCCUCCUGCUCGUGCCAGAGGCAGACGGGGUAGAGGACGUACUUUUGAUAGAGAUCCAUCAGCUUCUCAUACCAUAUCUGAUGACUUCGAUCCUUGACUUGUCUUGAUCAUUACUAGACCCUAGGUGUUAGUGUCUUGUUCUAGGAUCUGUAUUUUGGGGUCAUGUAUUGACAAUUAGCUGGUUGACUUUUAUAAUAUGAACUAUGUAUUGAAACAAUUAUGGUUGUAUGAUAUCAUCUUUUACUUAUAUCUCUACCUUUUGUAAUGAUGUCGAUCAUAUUAUGGUUAUAUAUAUAUUCUCCUUGUUGAAAUAUUGUCUUCUCUUUGUUG